GAGUACAUAUGGCUCCAUCAAUUUACGAUUCAUACAGAGAGGAGCAGAGCAAAAUCAAACAGGAGGAGAAAAUUAUUAUCAAGUCGGCUGACAAUUUUGCAGAUUCACUUGAGCCAGGUACACAGCGACGACGAUACUGGCAUUGACGCAAGAAGUGGCGCACUUCUUCAGAACAAAGGUAUCUUGAACAAAUGACUAAUUUCUUUUGUUCCUGAUUGGAAUAUUGUCUCAAGAAUACAAACACGGCAAAGAGAACAGAUGCAGGACUUUGGAAUAUGAAGUUGCUGAUUCUUUGAUUUUAUAUCAUCCACAUGUCUAUAAGAGUGUGGAACUGUGGAUUUCCAUCGUGUUUCUUUGCCAUGAAACUCAAACUACAAACCUGAUUCUUACAGUUUUACUUUGUAGGAAUGAUUUUCAAUGGAACUUCUAUUCUUUUUCUACGAUAAUGGACACAAGACUUACAUUCAGGGUAUGAAAAUCUUUAUUCGGUAAUCGGUACCGACUUUCAAAGAUCAACAUUCAGGGUGAAACUAAUUGUUGAUUAGAUGUCCAGGCAAGUAAAGCACACUCAAGUUACAUAUUUUUUUUUUUUUUGGUUUCUCUUUUACUUUGAAAUAUGGA
Molecule: long non-coding RNA, 621 nt
Organism: Rosa chinensis
Lineage: Eukaryota; Viridiplantae; Streptophyta; Magnoliopsida; Rosales; Rosaceae
Exons: 6
Source: RefSeq, a predicted model, not a curated record